AAGAUUUUAAAGGUCGAACAGACCUAGUCUAUAAGCAUCUACACCUAAAACUAAUCUUAAUCCAACAUCGAGGUCACAAUCCCCUUUUUCGAUAUGAACUCUCAAAAAAAAUUAUG
This 116-nucleotide ribosomal RNA is filed under the name Acromantis japonica. RNAcentral describes it as "partial 16S ribosomal RNA". Lineage: Eukaryota; Metazoa; Arthropoda; Insecta; Mantodea; Hymenopodidae. The record is from RNAcentral.